UGCUAUCCCGUUGUUGAACCUUAGGUUAGUUUCAAGUUUAGUUGUAGAUUCACAUUCUUAAGUUCGAUCUUUGGUUGUUCAAGCUUAGAGGUUGAUUUUGAGUGAUUUUUGGCCAAAUUAAUUAGGGUUUUGUUUGAGUUUUGCCCUGCCGAAGUUUCAGAAAUAUUUUGAGUUAAAAUUUGAGUAAGUUUUGGAUCCUGAUUAGGUUAUGCUGGUCAAGUGUUGGUCUGUUGAUAAUUUCCAGAGGGUAACUGGGAAUAUUUCGAGUGGGUGAGGUGUUAUUGAAAUCAUUUGGGUCAAAUUGGUGUUUGGUUUGAGGUUCUAUCAUUUGCUGAGUUCAGUUUUGACUCUGGCUGAAGGUGUCAACUGAUUUUGGUUUCAUUUGGGUUCAUUUUGAUGUGGUUUUGUUGGUUUGUUGUUCUGUGCUUGGCUUUAAAUUAAUUCUGGGCAGUUGAAACUACUGGACUGCAUCUGGUUCCUGUUGAUGUUGCCGCUGAUCUCCUUUUUUUUCUAUUGAAUUUCUGAAUCAGGUACACAACUGUAACUUUGCAAAUUUGUAAGCUGGAAACGUUGAGCAUGAACUUAUAUGAAG
RNAcentral lists this long non-coding RNA (592 nucleotides) under Nicotiana benthamiana. RNAcentral's name for it is "long non-coding RNA (NBEN_LNC022565)". The record is from RNAcentral. Lineage: Eukaryota; Viridiplantae; Streptophyta; Magnoliopsida; Solanales; Solanaceae.